AAUCAACGCUGGCGGCGUGCCUCAGACAUGCAAGUCGAACGCGAAAGUCCCCUUCGGGGGACAAGUAGAGUGGCGCACGGGUGAGUAACACGUAGGUAAUCUACCUUUGGAUGGGGAAUAACAACCGGAAACGGUUGCUAAUACCGCAUAAUGCAGCGGCACCUAAUGGUGACAGUUGUUAAAGCGGGGGAUCGUAAGACCUCGCGUCUAAAGAGGAGCCUGCGGCAGAUUAGCUAGUUGGUAAGGUAAUGGCUUACCAAGGCGAUGAUCUGUAGCCGGCCUGAGAGGGCGGUCGGCCACACUGACACUGACAUACGGGUCAGACUCCUACGGGAGGCAGCAGUCGGGAAUUUUGGGCAAUGGGCGAAAGCCUGACCCAGCAACGCCGCGUGAAGGAUGAAAUCCUUCGGGAUGUAAACUUCGCAAGAACGGGAAGAAUAAGUAAGAGCUAACAUCUCUUAUGAUGACG
This 469-nucleotide ribosomal RNA is filed under the name uncultured bacterium. RNAcentral describes it as "bacterial SSU rRNA". It matches the Rfam family "Bacterial small subunit ribosomal RNA", at positions 32 to 474 of the family's 1533-position model. The record is from RNAcentral.